RNAcentral lists this ribosomal RNA (253 nucleotides) under uncultured bacterium. RNAcentral's name for it is "partial 16S ribosomal RNA". It matches the Rfam family "Bacterial small subunit ribosomal RNA", at positions 524 to 776 of the family's 1533-position model. The record is from RNAcentral.
UACGUAGGGUGCAAGCGUUAAUCGGAAUUACUGGGCGUAAAGCGUGCGCAGGCGGUUAUGUAAGACAGAUGUGAAAUCCCCGGGCUCAACUUGGGAACUGCAUUUGUGACUGCAUCGCUGGAGUGCGGCAGAGGGGGAUGGAAUUCCGCGUGUAGCAGUGAAAUGCGUAGAUAUGCGGAGGAACACCGAUGGCGAAGGCAAUCCCCUGGGCCUGCACUGACGCUCAUGCACGAAAGCGUGGGGAGCAAACAGG